This 376-nucleotide ribosomal RNA is filed under the name uncultured organism. Its description in RNAcentral is "partial 16S ribosomal RNA". It matches the Rfam family "Bacterial small subunit ribosomal RNA", at positions 526 to 896 of the family's 1533-position model. The record is from RNAcentral.
GGGGGGGAGCAAGCGUUGUUCGGAAUUACUGGGCGUAAAGGGCGCGUAGGCGGCCGAGGUAAGUCGCGUGUGAAAUGCCGGGGGCUCAACCCCCGUGCACUGCAUGCGAUACUGCUUGGCUCGAGAGAGGUAGGGGCGAGCGGAAUUCCCGGUGUAGCGGUGGAAUGCGUAGAUAUCGGGAAGAACACCAGUGGCGAAGGCGGCUCGCUGGACCUCUUCUGACGCUGAAGCGCGAAAGCGUGGGGAGCAAACAGGAUUAGAUACCCUGGUAGUCCACGCCGUAAACGCUGGGUGCUAGGUGUUGGGGGGAUUGACCCCUUCAGUGCCGACGCUAACGCAUUAAGUACCCCGCCUGGGGAGUACGGUCGCAAGGCUG